Molecule: non-coding RNA, 72 nt
Organism: Candidatus Roizmanbacteria bacterium
Lineage: Bacteria; Candidatus Roizmaniibacteriota
Source: Rfam
GCGGUGGUAGUUCAGCGGUAGAAUGUCUCCCUUCCAAGGAGAAGGUCAGGGGUUCAAAUCCCCUCCACCGCU